GAGUGAAAUGAUGCUUAACCAUCUUUCGGGACUUACCCAACAAUGGGGAUAUUUUUUUUUCUUCACUGAUCACUC
Small nucleolar RNA from Acanthochromis polyacanthus (spiny chromis), 75 nucleotides. The record is from Ensembl. NCBI's taxonomy places the organism in Eukaryota, Metazoa, Chordata, Actinopteri, Pomacentridae.